UACGGAGGGUGCAAGCGUUGUUCGGAAUUACUGGGCGUAAAGCGCGUGUAGGUGGUUCGGUAAGUCGAAUGUGAAAGCCCCGGGCUCAACCCGGGAAGUGCAUCCGAAACUGCCGAACUAGAGUCCCGGAGAGGAAGGCAGAAUUCCCAAUGUAGGGGUGAAAUCCGUAGAUAUUGGGAGGAAUACCGGUGGCGAAGGCGGCCUUCUGGACGGUGACUGACACUCAGACGCGAAAGCGUGGGGAGCAAAC
This 250-nucleotide ribosomal RNA is filed under the name uncultured bacterium. Its description in RNAcentral is "partial 16S ribosomal RNA". It matches the Rfam family "Bacterial small subunit ribosomal RNA", at positions 524 to 773 of the family's 1533-position model. The record is from RNAcentral.